AUUUUUAACUGAAUAUUUACGAAAGCUGAAAGCGUGCGAGGGGGGUGGGGUGGAAAUAGCGGCUGCUUCUUUUCCAAGGAUUUAUUUAAUGGGGAUGUGUUCAAGGCAAGACCGAAUUCAGAAGGAUAUCGACGUCGUGAUCCAGAAGUCCAGAGCUGAGGACUGCCUGUUUGCAGGACAACUGUGCAGACUACAAAGCUUCGGAAAACCGGAGAGGCUGAGUCGACUAAUCGUGUUGUUGCACGUUAGAAACGCUUGCAUUGCCUGACUCUGAAACCAGAAGGGCGGCCGAAUGGCCUUCACCCUCCAUUAACCCUCGCCUCCUUCAGAAGCCAGUGCCUCUGGAAAUGCCUGGAUCUGCGACCCCAGCCUGAGCCUAGUAGGGCCCAAGGGAAGCUGAACGCCCCGACGGCUCUCAUGAAAUCACAGAGAUCAGCAACUCUAGAGUGCGAUGAAGAAGCUUCACUCUGGGAGAACCCCCUUCGUGACCACGGUCUCUUUCCUGCCAGGGCACCGGCAACAGUUUUCCGUUUGUGCCUACUCCACCUGCUGUCUUUGUU
Molecule: long non-coding RNA, 560 nt
Filed under: Homo sapiens (human)
Lineage: Eukaryota; Metazoa; Chordata; Mammalia; Primates; Hominidae
Description: non-protein coding lnc-PPIAL4D-19:13
Source: RNAcentral